AUUUUGUUGAUGUUGCAAUGAAUUCAGCUGAAGUGCUAUUUCUUUGUAAAAGCAUCUCACAUCUACUCUUUAGACAAUUUGGCUUUGCGCAACAUCUCAUGUGUUUAGAGUAUAACACAUUUAACCUAUCAUUAAUUGAAAGCCUAUUUUGUCUCAUAGAAUGUGAUGGGUACUUUACAUAUGUUGGCACACUUAAUUGUCACCACAACACUAAGUAGUGAGUAUUAUCAUCUUUUUACACAUGAGAAAACUGAUAUUCAGAGAACUUAUGAAGCCGAUAUGGGUUUCAAACUUAGGUCUCUGUCUCCAGGACUCAAUUGCUUUUCCUGUACUCCAUGUGGACUUUCUGACAGUGAAAGAAGGACAUGCUUCAGGAUGUCCAAGAAAUCCCUUACUACCUGAACUCUCAUUACUCAACUAUUUAUCAAAGAAACCCCAAAAUGGAAUGCAAGUUGGUGCAGCCACUUUGGAGAACAGUGUGGAGGUUCCUUAAGAAAUGAAAAAUAGAGCUUCCCCAUGACCCUGCCAUUGCACUACUGGGUAUUUACCCCAAAGAUACAGCUGUAGUGAAAAGAAGGGCCAUCUGUACCCCAAUGUUUACAGCAGCAAUGGCCACGGUCACCAAACUGUGGAAAGAACCAAGAUGCCCUUCAAUGGACGAAUAGAUAAGGAAGAUGUGGUCCAUAUUAUGUCUCCAUCAGAAAGGAUGAAUACCCAACUUUUGUAUCAACAUGGAUGGGACUGGAAGAGAUUAUGCUGAAUGAAAUAAGUCAAGCAGAAAGAGUCAAUUAUCACAUGGUUUCACUUAUUUGUGGAGCAUAACAAAUAACAUGGAGGACAUAGGGAGAUGGAGAGAAGAGAGUUGAAGGAAAUUGGAGGGGGAGAUGAACCACGAGAGACUAUGGACUCUGAAAAACAAUCUGAGGGUUUUGAAGGGGUGGGGGGUGGGAGGUUGGGGGAGCCAGGUGGUAGGUAUUAUGGAGGGUACAUAUGGCAUGGAGCACUGGGUGUGGUGCAUAAACAUUGAAUUCUGUUAUACUGAAAAGAAAUUAAUAAAAUAAAAUAAAACAAAAACCCCCAAAAUGAAAAAAACAAAGAAACACCAGCAUAUAUAUGCCAGCAAAAUUGUUUGACACAUAUGAUUAUGGAUGAAUAGCAUCACAAUGUUUUGCUGUUGCCUCUCAGUUGUUUUAAUAAAGUUGCAUCUCAUUAUUUCAACAUAAUAGGUGUUAACACUGUCAUCUUCCCCACAUGAAGUGAUGAUGUCUCUUCAGGAAAUGGAGAGCCUGUAAAGAAAGUUGGUAGGUCUGAGAUGAUUUGGGAAGUCCAUUUACUGGAAGAAAGAGUGGAAAGUAUAAAGUACUUUGAAGAAUGAUGACUGCAUAAAAAUACAUUUAUCAUAAUUUUGUCUAC
Long non-coding RNA from Mustela putorius furo (domestic ferret), 1413 nucleotides. The record is from Ensembl. Lineage: Eukaryota; Metazoa; Chordata; Mammalia; Carnivora; Mustelidae.